GACAGAGGUUGCAAACGUUGUUCGGAAUUACUGGGCAUAAAGCGCACGUAGGCGGUUCGUUAAGUCCUGUGUGAAAUCCCCCGGCUCAACUGGGGAACUGCACAGGAAACUAGCGGGCUUGAGUUCGGGAGAGGGAAGCGGAAUUCCGGGUGUAGCGGUGAAAUGCGUAGAUAUCAGGAGGAACACCAAUAGCGAAGGCAGCUCGCUGGGACGUUACUGACACUGAGGCGCGAAAGCUAGGGGAGCAAACGGG
Molecule: ribosomal RNA, 253 nt
Filed under: uncultured bacterium
Lineage: Bacteria
Description: partial 16S ribosomal RNA
Rfam family: Bacterial small subunit ribosomal RNA
Source: RNAcentral